Molecule: ribosomal RNA, 231 nt
Filed under: uncultured bacterium
Lineage: Bacteria
Description: partial 16S ribosomal RNA
Rfam family: Bacterial small subunit ribosomal RNA
Source: RNAcentral
UGGGCAACCUGCCCUCAGCUCUGGGAUAACCCCGGGAAACCGGGGCUAAUACCGGAUACGACCUCCGCGGGCAUCUGCGGAGGUGGAAAGGUUUUCCGGCUGAGGAUGGGCCCGCGGCCUAUCAGCUAGUUGGUGGGGUGAUGGCCCACCAAGGCGAUGACGGGUAGCCGGCCUGAGAGGGUGACCGGCCACACUGGGACUGAGGCACGGCCCAGACUCCUACGGGAGGCA